UACGGAGGGUGCGAGCGUUGUCCGGAAUCACUGGGCGUAAAGGGCGCGUAGGCGGUCUGCUAAGCGUGCGGUGAAAGCCUGGGGCUCAACCCCAGGUCUGCCGUGCGAACUGGUGGACUUGAGCACUGUAGAGGCAGGUGGAAUUUCGGGUGUAGCGGUGGAAUGCGUAGAGAUCCGAAAGAACACCGGUGGCGAAGGCGGCCCGCUGGGCAGUAGCUGACGCGGAGGCGCGACAGCGUGGGGAGCAAACAGG
This 253-nucleotide ribosomal RNA is filed under the name uncultured bacterium. RNAcentral's name for it is "partial 16S ribosomal RNA". It matches the Rfam family "Bacterial small subunit ribosomal RNA", at positions 524 to 776 of the family's 1533-position model. The record is from RNAcentral.